Molecule: ribosomal RNA, 427 nt
Filed under: uncultured bacterium
Lineage: Bacteria
Description: partial 16S ribosomal RNA
Rfam family: Bacterial small subunit ribosomal RNA
Source: RNAcentral
UGGGGAAUAUUGCACAAUGGGCGCAAGCCUGAUGCAGCCAUGCCGCGUGUAUGAAGAAGGCCUUCGGGUUGUAAAGUACUUUCAGCGAGGAGGAAGGCGUUGUGGUUAAUAACCGCAACGAUUGACGUUACUCGCAGAAGAAGCACCGGCUAACUCCGUGCCAGCGGCCGCGGUAAUACGGAGGGUGCAAGCGUUAAUCGGAAUUACUGGGCGUAAAGCGCACGCAGGCGGUCUGUCAAGUCGGAUGUGAAAUCCCCGGGCUCAACCUGGGAACUGCAUCCGAAACUGGCAGGCUAGAGUCUUGUAGAGGGGGGUAGAAUUCCAGGUGUAGCGGUGAAAUGCGUAGAGAUCUGGAGGAAUACCGGUGGCGAAGGCGGCCCCCUGGACAAAGACUGACGCUCAGGUGCGAAAGCGUGGGGAGCAAACA